Molecule: long non-coding RNA, 2769 nt
Filed under: Homo sapiens (human)
Lineage: Eukaryota; Metazoa; Chordata; Mammalia; Primates; Hominidae
Description: non-protein coding MALINC1:75
Source: RNAcentral
CUUCUCGCGCGUGAGCGCGCCCUAUCGGCUCCUGGCGCGUCAACAUUCCGCGGGCCAGGCCUUGGGGCGCGUCUGAGGAGGGGGAUGUCUGUGGCCUCUCCGCCCACACUUCCUCCACCCACCGCCCACAGCGCCCCAGAAGGACCUAUUACUCGUUUGGCUUCUGAAGGCCGAAGCCAGGCUCUGGCGGGGAUAGAACCCUGAAGGGCCUGCGCCAGCUCCAACUUAGGGCCCUGUGCGUCGUUGCGACUUCUGCUACCACCCUAUCACGCGGCACCCCCGCCCCAACUCCGCCCGGGUCUCUGAAGAGGCAAUAGGCCUUUCAUCUCCGGGGAAAGUCUCACCUUGGCCCUCAGACACCCGCCAAGAGGGGUCGGAAGGACAGAAUUAGCAUAGAGAAGAGUGGCUAGAGCACUUUUCAGGCUCUGGCCCCAGGAAUCCUUGACAGGAAGCGUGGGGUUGCUGCCCAGCCUCCCACGCAGUGUAAUAUGUUGAAGCCGGGCCCCUUUGAGGGAAUGCGACUUCCUUGGGCCGAGGGGGAAAGGGUAAAAGUUAAUUUUCAUAAAAUGCUAUGCAAGGGCUAAAUGUGAAAUUAUAAAAUGUCCUUUAAGACAGUCUUCUUGAAAUCGUAUCAAGUUUGACAAGAUUUUUGGUGCACGGUAACGCUUUUGCUCGCUUUCUACGCUGUCACGUCUCCAUCCUGCAACACUGAAUACGUAGAUGGAACGUGGAUCAGCUAAUAACUGCAGCAAAAUAAAAACUGCAUUUAUCAUCUUUAUCAUUAUUUAAAUAGACCUCCGAGAAGUCAAACUGUGAUUUAGGAAAACUUAAUCAUUGCCUCAACCUAUUUAACUAUUUUGUUUUGAAGUUACUUUGCAAAUAUACCACAAAAUCCCUCUUUGUUAGGCAGUGGUAGACUUUUAAACUCACUUGUUAGAGAAUCUUUCCCAGAAGCAUAUCUAGUUGAGCCUGCGAGGCAAGUAGGACUAAGGUAUAAUUACUCCCAUUUUACAGAUGAAAAUUUAGUUAUCAAAAUGUAAGUCAGUUGUUCAGCAUUGUGAGGAGUCUAUCACUGAUAAAGGGAAAACUCUAAGGUCUAUUAUUGCCUGCUUUAUUCACUAAACCAGAAAUCUCUCAAUUGUUUUUUUCCAAGUAUCUUUUGCUGCCUCUUACGUAUUGUAGGCAGUGCCUGAUGGCUGAGAAGAAUCGCAGAGGACUAGAAAAGGUUUGAGUCUGAAAUUAUCUGGCACAGAGGAUUAAAGCUCAGAAAUAAGUGAUUGCGAAACAGUUCAACUUCCCUGUUAAUGACAACAACAACAGCAACACGCUUAUUAAUUCCUAGCUGGAGCAUCAAGCUUAUGAAGAUUUCCAAGACUUUAUUGUUGACCCUUGUUGAAGAGAACUCUACUUGGCUUCUUUCCUGGCUUUCCUAAAUUGUUCACAUACAAGAUAAACUACCGUCAUUCAGACUUACAGAAGUGAGAAGACAAGCUGAACCAAAUGUAAAAUGGUAGCAAUUUACAGAUGUCAGAACUAACAUGUGGAUGAACUUAGAGAUGGAGAAGAAAGCUGGGCUUUUCCAAAGAGUGGAUCUAUCUGAACUGGAUAGCACUAUUGAACUUUGUUGCAUAUUUUGUGGUAGCUCUAAAACUCCUCUGCUUGCUUACAUACAACCAGACACCAGUGCCUUCUGAAGCUAAUCCAGGCCAUUUUUAUAACCUAAUGCAGUAGCACUUUGCAAUUAGAUGAAGAAGAUCGGUGGGAUUUCUUUCUGUGGUGAUUAAAAUGUGUCAGGGGAAGAAAUCAAGACAAUACUCCAAGUGAAAAAUAUAAAGUCAGUUAUUUCUUUAAUAUUUUGUGUUAUAGUAAUCAUUUUUAUAUUUUGAGCAUACUUUUUCUUGUCUACUUAAAUACUCAAAAUUAAUUAUAAAAUGUAAAUGUAAGCACAAUGAGAUACCAUCUCAUCCCAGUUAAAAUGGCUUUUAUCAAAAAGAUAGGGAAUAAUGAAUACUGGUGGAAGGAUGUGGAGAAUGGGGAACCCUCGUACACUGUCAAUGAGAAUGUAAAUUAGUACAGCCACUAUGGAAAACUGUAUGGAAGUGCCUCCGAAAACAAAGUAGAACUACCAUGUGAUCCAGCAAUUACACUAGUGGGUAUAUAUUCAAAAGAAAGGAAAUCAACAUAUUAAAGAGAUAGCUGCAUUCUCAUGUUUAUUGAAGUCCUGUUGAAAUAGCCAAAAUAUGGAAUCAACCUAAGUGCCCAUCAGUGGAUGAAUGGUUAAAGAAAAUGUGAUUGAUAUGCAAUGGAAUAUUAUUCAGCCAUAAAAAAGAAUGAAAUCCUGGCGGGGCACAGUGGCUCAUGCAAGUAAUCCCAGCACUGACCUCAUGAAGACAGAGAGUAGAUUGGUGGUUACCAGAGGUUGAGAAGGGGAGAGGAGAGGAGGGAUGAAGAGAGGUUGAUUGAUGGAUAGAAAUAUACAGUUUGAUAAUGAUAAAUCAGUAGGGUGACUAUAGUUUAUAAUAACCUAUUGUAUGGUUCAAAAUAGCUAAAAGAGAAUAAUUGAAAUAACGUAAGACAAAAAUUUAAGAUGAUAGAUAUCCCAAUUACACUGAUUUGAUCUUUACAAAUUAUAUGAAUGUAUUAAAUUAUUACAUGUAUCCCCAAAAUAUGUACAAGUAUUUUGUAUCAAUAAAAAAUAAAAUUUAAGAUAAAGUAAAUGUAAUGAUUAGCUUAUAUUUCCUAGAUCGGAAAUAAAUAUUUACUUAAGUA